Molecule: ribosomal RNA, 702 nt
Rfam family: 5.8S ribosomal RNA (bases 266-421)
CUUAAGGAUCAUUACUGAAUAAAACUCGGUGGGCUUGAUGCUGGCUUUCUUUGAAGGCAUGUGCACCGCCUGUCGUCUUUAUUUCUUUUCCACCUGUGCACCCUUUGUAGGCUUGAACCGCUUUUUCUUUUGGCCUUUGGGUCAGUGUUGGGGACUGCUGACCGGCUGUCUUCUACUGUUCGAGUCUAUGUUUUCUUACACUAUACACCAUUGUUAAACCUUAGAAUGUUAAAGGCUCUACGUGUGCCUAUCUUAAACACUAUACAACUUUCAGCAACGGAUCUCUUGGCUCUCGCAUCGAUGAAGAACGCAGCGAAAUGCGAAUAAGUAAUGUGAAUUGCAGGAAUUCAGUGAAUCAUCGAAUCUUUGAACGCACCUUGCGCUCCUUGGUAUUCCGAGGAGCAUGCCUGUUUGAGUGUCAUUACAUUCUCAACCAUUGGAUUUGUUUUCGAUGGGUUGGACUUGGGGGUGUGUGCCGGCCCUAAAGGUCGGCUCCCCUUAAAUGCAUUAAGCUGGUUGCCCCUCUCGCGUCGACUUGGUGUGAUAAAUCUUACUUUGCGCCGUUUUUGACGUGGAUGUCUUUUGGGUGGCUGCUUUCUAACCGUCCCUUGUGGACAACGAUAAAAUCCCUCUUCGGAGGGCCUUUUUUGACCUCUCUUGACCUCAAAUCAGGUAAGGACUACCGGCUGAACUUAACGAGGU